GGCAAUGGCUCAGUGGUAGAGCACCUGCCUUGUAUGUGUGAGACACUGGGUUAGAUCCUCAGCGCCA
This 67-nucleotide transfer RNA is filed under the name Marmota monax (woodchuck). RNAcentral's name for it is "tRNA.Thr". Lineage: Eukaryota; Metazoa; Chordata; Mammalia; Rodentia; Sciuridae. The record is from RNAcentral.